RNAcentral lists this long non-coding RNA (339 nucleotides) under Mytilus galloprovincialis (Mediterranean mussel). Lineage: Eukaryota; Metazoa; Mollusca; Bivalvia; Mytilida; Mytilidae. The record is from RNAcentral.
AUAUCAACCCUCCCCUAACCUGGGACAGUGGUGUAACAUCAUAAGAACGAACUAUGAAAAUCAGUUGAAAAAGGCUUUACUCAUCAGAUUGAUAAAAAGAAAUGCAUAUAACAUAAACACAGAGUGGACGUGGCUGGGUACUUGUAUAUCCAAACAACAAAAAGACACUUAGUACUGAUCAGAGAGUGUGUACAAAGUUUUGAUUGUCAUAAAAACUUAAAUAUUAUCAAUAAUGAAAUAGGUUACGCUAGGGAAUCCUAAGCAUUCAUUUGUUUUCUUAACAUUUGAAUAUUUUCAAUAAAGGCUAUUUUGAUUCACAAAUUUGGUUUUUAUUCAUGC